CAAGCGAAGCUCGGGUAUUCCAAAUCUGUUUAAAAAACGAUCAAUCCCGGCUGGACGUUCGACAAAGCUGGCCAAUACUUAACUUGUCGGCGUGACAUCCCCCCCAAAGUGUCUCGCCGAUAUAGGCAGCAACGGAAUGUGUGCCUUUGUUUUACUCCUAAUGGUCUUAACCCGGAUUCCCCAGAGCCCGG
This 191-nucleotide small RNA is filed under the name Pseudomonas psychrophila. RNAcentral's name for it is "Pseudomonas sRNA P16". It matches the Rfam family "RgsA sRNA". Rfam says of the family: P16 sRNA appears to be conserved across several Pseudomonas species and Azotobacter vinelandii. In these species it is consistently located downstream of a predicted TatD deoxyribonuclease gene. P16 has a predicted Rho independent terminator at the 3' end but the function of P16 is unknown. Lineage: Bacteria; Pseudomonadati; Pseudomonadota; Gammaproteobacteria; Pseudomonadales; Pseudomonadaceae. The record is from RNAcentral.